This is a non-coding RNA of Pseudophryne corroboree (corroboree frog), 74 nucleotides long. The record is from the annotation of a RefSeq genome assembly. NCBI's taxonomy places the organism in Eukaryota, Metazoa, Chordata, Amphibia, Anura, Myobatrachidae.
GGCUAGUUAGCUCAGUUGGUUAGAGCGUGGCAAUUGUAAUACCAAUGUCAUGGGUUCGAUUCCUGUAUUGGCCA